This 253-nucleotide ribosomal RNA is filed under the name uncultured bacterium. RNAcentral's name for it is "partial 16S ribosomal RNA". It matches the Rfam family "Bacterial small subunit ribosomal RNA", at positions 524 to 776 of the family's 1533-position model. The record is from RNAcentral.
UACGUAGGGUGCAAGCGUUGUCCGGAUUUAUUGGGUUUAAAGGGUGCGUAGGCGGUCUAUUAAGUCAGUGUUUAAAUUUUGCAGCUUAACUGUAGGUAUGGCAUUGAUACUGAUGGACUUGAAUAUUAGAGAGGUAGCUAGAAUUUAUGGUGUAGCGGUGAAAUGCAUAGAUACCAUAAGGAACACCGAUAGCGGAGGCAUGUUACCAUCUGGUUAUUGACGCUGAGGCACGAAAGUGUGGGGAUCAAACAGG